CCUGGAGCUCAGCUCCAGAAUUGCCUUUAAGACUGCAUCGCUUGAAUCCAGGAGAGAUGAGUGGAAUUCCGAGUGUAGAGGUGAAAUUCGUAGAUAUUCGGAAGAACACCAGUGGCGAAGGCGUCUCACUGGACUGGUAUUGACGCUGAGGUGCGAAAGCGUGGGGAGCAAACAGGAUUAAUACCCUGGUAGUCAAGGGCGAAUUCG
RNAcentral lists this ribosomal RNA (207 nucleotides) under uncultured Sphingomonadales bacterium. RNAcentral's name for it is "partial 16S ribosomal RNA". It matches the Rfam family "Bacterial small subunit ribosomal RNA", at positions 601 to 808 of the family's 1533-position model. Lineage: Bacteria; Pseudomonadati; Pseudomonadota; Alphaproteobacteria; Sphingomonadales. The record is from RNAcentral.